GACGAACGCUGGCGGCGUGCUUAACACAUGCAAGUCGAACGGAAAGGCCCUGCUCUUGCGGGGUGCUCGAGUGGCGAACGCGUGUGUAACACGCGAGUAACCUGCCCUUGUCUUUGGGAUAACUUCAGGAAACUGGGGCUAAUACCGGAUAGGAGCUCCUGCUCCACGGGGGGGGUUGGAAAGUGACGGCGGUGGUGGAUCGUCUCGCGGCUUAUCAGCUUGUUUGUCGGGUAGUCGCUUACCAAGGGUUUGAAGGGUAGCCGGCCUGGGAGGGUGGCCGGCCACAUUGGGACUACGGUAGGGACCAGACUGCUACGGGCGGCAGCAGUGGGGAAUAUUGCGCAGUGGGCGGAAGCGUGAUGCAGAAACGUCGCGUGCGGGAUGACGGCCUUCGGGUUGUAAACCGCUUUCGCCUGUGACGAAGCGUGAGUGACGGUAAUGAGUCAAGAAGCACCGGCUAACUACGUG
RNAcentral lists this ribosomal RNA (468 nucleotides) under uncultured bacterium. RNAcentral describes it as "partial 16S ribosomal RNA". It matches the Rfam family "Bacterial small subunit ribosomal RNA", at positions 28 to 507 of the family's 1533-position model. The record is from RNAcentral.